RNA transcript from Rosa chinensis, 2968 nucleotides. RefSeq lists it as uncharacterized. The record is from RefSeq and is a predicted model, not a curated record. NCBI's taxonomy places the organism in Eukaryota, Viridiplantae, Streptophyta, Magnoliopsida, Rosales, Rosaceae. The transcript is spliced from 12 exons.
UCCAUCUCCUUUCUCUCUCUAACCGAGAGCCUCUCUCUCUAGCCUCCACCGGAAAUCGCCGCCACCGCCGGACGCCGCACCGCCGUCGCCGUCGCCGGAACCCCUCUCCUCACCAAAAUUUCCAGAUUUUCUCCUCUUCCUUCCCUCUUUCCAUUUCUCCAACCAAAAUCAUGAAAUUUAGCCAUUUAAUCCCCCAAAAACCCUAGAACCCGAAGCUAAAUUUGGGGCUUUUGUGAUUUCUUCUUUCCAAGCUCAAAUCAAGGUAUUUUCCAUCCUAAUCUAGCCUAUAUUCCUUCGAUCUAUACAUCUUUCUUCCUAAAUCCGAGUUUUUGAUUUGGGUUUGUGAUUUUGUUUGCAUGAACCCGAUUUCUCCUUGAACCAUGAAGCUAGGCUAUGGGUUUGGCAAGAAUUUUUAGUGAAGAAGGCCAAGGAGAAGGAGUAUGACAUGAUUUUUGAAGAAGAAAGGGAAACACGAUCGUUAAGAAAGUUUAAGCGGGAAGCAGCAGAGUGUGGAAUACGCCGGCAUAUUCCAGGUUAUAACGAGGUCAUUCCGGACGAUUUGGAUUAGAAGUGGGUCGUUGGCCAAGUUCGUGUGUUGCUGUUCCUGUUGCUUGAAGUUCUUCCCUUGUGGUAUUCCAUCGUUUUACUCGUUUUUCAUUCCAUGUUGAACUCUGUGAGGUCCGCCUACCUGGGAGCGCUCCUCACCCCUUUGUUUAUUUGAUGUUGUUGAACUUUCCUUUCAUUUCGGUUAUGAUGUAAGCCCUAAGGCGCCACAAUGCACUUGCCGCCUUAUUUUGUUGCUUUUCCAGACUUGUUGAUUUAAAUGUUGGGUUGUUGAUUUUAAAGUCCUUUCUUAAAAGUUUUAGUUUUUUUUUUUUUUUUUUUUUUUUUUGGUCUCCUAUUUUCUAAAAUUUGUAUUUUCAAAAGGCCUUGUAGUAUUAAGUUGGUAGAUCUACGGUACGUCUACGACGUAUCGAGCUCUUAUUGGCUUAAUAUUACGGCGCUGUGGUAUACUCUUUCGGGUCGCCACAAUCUAUGCGGUAAUUAUGGUUAUGAUUCUAUUUAUUUAUUUCUUUUCUUGACUUUCUGAUUAUGUUUCAUUGUUAUCUGUCAAAAUGAACUUUUCGUUUCUUCCAUCUCUUCCCGUUCUUCUCUCUCUGCUCACAGAAAUCUUCGUACGCCAUCCUUCCUAUUCUUCUAUCGAACAAGCGGGAAAAUUAGGCGGGAUGUGCAGAGAGAGUAGGCGGGAUUUUGAGAGAAAAGAUAGGAGUCCUAAUUAGGACUCUUCCUAACCCAAAAGAGAUGGACGACAAUAUAAAAGGGAAUCGGCUCUGUUCAUCACAACAUCAACUUCGACUCUUUCUCUGCAAUCUUUAUUUUGAAGGAUUACGAGUGUUCUUCGUUCAAUUUUCCGGUGUUCAAUUUUCCAGAUUGAAGGUGUUUAGGACCAAACACAUCCACGAAAACAAUGUCCUCUCAAUCUCUGCAACUUGGAUGAGGAAAAAUGAUAAGGAAGCCUGCUAAUGCAACAACAAGAGCAUCCAAAUCAGGUUCUCAGCUACCAUCACAACCAGCACUGAGAGCAACUUCUUAUGCAGCACCCACAACAACUGAACUGCCAUUUGAAGAGCCACAAGCUGAUCAACAUCCUACAGCUCACAACUCAGAGAAUUCCUCUACCCUGCUGAAUUGAAAAAAACACGUGGCAAAACAACUGGGAAAGGUAUGAUUGAGAUGAUUGCUAGCAAUGGCAACAAGAAGGUGGAGAUAAUAUUUGACCAGGAGCAUUGGGUCCCAAAUACUGAGUAUAGCAAUAAGAAGUUCACUACCGCUAUAGGGAUUGAGGUUCGAAGGCGAGCUCCGGUAUGUUACCGCGGAUGGAAUAAGAUUUCAGGAGAUAUUAAGAGGACACUACGAGAGGGAUUGAUGGUACACUUUGACGUGGAAAUAGAACAUCCAAAAAUUAUCUAUUUUGUGGAUGAUAAGAUGCGCUCGGCGUAUACUCAAUUCAAGUGGAAAUUGCACGAUCACUACCAAAAAUGUGGCACAUCUAUUCGGGGACGAGCCACACUUCCUCCACCUGAUCUAUGGGGUGAGAGAUCGACAGAGGAGUGGCAUUGACUAUGUGAUGAACUCUACACCGAUCCAAAAUAUAUUGAUAAAUGCAAGAAGAAUUCAACUAGCCGAAAGAGACAAAGGAGUACGCAUCGUGGCGGAGUUAUGCCUUUCAUUCAACAUGCUUUGAGGACAGUCAAGGAGGGCAAUCCUUUGUCUUUCAUAGACAAUUGGGCAGCUAUGUAUCAAGAUUCAAAUAGCAAUUGGGUUAGUGAUUCUGCACGUGAUAAAUAUGAUCGACUGAAAAAUAAGAGAGAAGAGCAUAAGGAGAAACUAACCCUAGAGGCACCAGAGGGUACUCCACCAGAAUCUGUACAAGUUACUGCGCGUGAUGAGAUUCCAAUCAUGGCUGAAGAGUGUGGAAGGAAGGGAAAAAGAGUUCGUGGUUUAGGCUCGUUUCCUCGCAUGGAGCUUCCAACUGUUACAUCUUCAACAGUUGUGAGUUCUGAGAUGAACGUAAUGCAAGAUAAAGUUAAGAAGCUUGAAUCAACUGUGGACACUAUGCGGUCACAAAAUGCACAGCUAAUGACAAUGUUGAAGAAGUUCCUGAUGAAUAGCCAAGGCUGUUUUGCUGAUACAGAAAACAUUGACAUGAAUAUCGUAGUACCCAACAGUGAAGAAGAUGAUGUCUUUGGAAGAGAUGAAGACGGUGUCCAAAACAAUGGAGAUAAUUCUGAAACAGAAGAUUUGGAGGAAGAUUUGUGAUUCAUAAAGUCAUUUUUAGUAAUUUUUGGAUUAGGAUUUAGCUAGUCUAGCUUGGCAAACAAUUUUUCUUUUUAUUAGCUAUUAUUAUUUUGUGGGUAGAAUUUUGUAAACUCUAUUUGAUUUAUGAUUUAAUAAAUCUUUUGAUUAA